This 1819-nucleotide long non-coding RNA is filed under the name Oryzias sinensis (Chinese medaka). RNAcentral's name for it is "lncRNA (ENSOSIG00000015982.1)". The record is from RNAcentral. Lineage: Eukaryota; Metazoa; Chordata; Actinopteri; Beloniformes; Adrianichthyidae.
CCCAACCCUCACACGGACAAAGAAGAUGAGGUUCUGGGAAGCGGAUACGGUUCUGCAGACUGAGAUCUUUGGACCAGGGUCAACAGAACUGUGCCACAGGCAUUGUUCCAGCAUCAUGCUGCUGGCAGAGGGUUUCAGGUUCCUGCAGCGUCCAGCUCUUGCACUAAAUCAACAGAUUUCAUGGUGCCACUUGUGCUGUGCAGGUAAGAACCGCUCUGUUUGCCACACCUUUUGGUUUGGAGGUGAUGUCAAAAAAGGCCGUCUGAAGCUCUGCCUGCAGCAGUAUGUUCACAGGGAGAAUCUCCGCCCACUGACCCGCCGAGGCCCCAAAAUGCAGAUGACGGUCACAGAUGUACCAUCAGCUCUGCAUAAACCUGCUGGCAGAUGCCUUCAGGUUCACCUGGGAUUUCUGCACGUCUGGAUGGUCUUCAUCAUGACAUCAAGAUUUAAUCAUCAAAUCCUGUCACCAGUUCAGAAGCAGAAACGGGGAUGUGUUAAUAGUUUAAUAUUUAAAGUCCCACUCUGAAAAUAUUUUUUUCUUUUUCUUUAAUACAUGUUAUUGUCAUUUUUCUGAUAUUAAGACAAUUGAACCCAAAGUUUAAUUUGAGUAUUUCUUCAAAUUAUUGUGAAUCAGGAGCAGAAGGGGAAAAAAAUGCAGUUUGAAAAAGAGUUUAUUUGUGACGUAGAAAAAAUGCUGAGCAGGCCACAGGGUCCCUGCACUGCUCCACGAUGGGAAUGGGGGUGGAGUUGCUCCCCACCAAUGGUCCCAUCCACAAAUAAGAGAUGAAUGUCUAACUACUACCACUGUGCAGAAAUUGUCUUAAAAAACAAAACAGUUUAUUUUUUUGCUUUAACGUCAAAGCCUUAAUUCAAAGACGGCUGGGAAUGCUUUUUAAAUCGAUCAAGAUGAUUGAAAUGACUUGUUUUUCUUUGUUUCCAGUGUUUUUUAUGUACUGCUCAUGUAUUCAACAGCAGCCUCGUCAAAUGUGUGGAUUUAAAGGUUUAGUAUCAACUGUCUAUUGAGUUGAUUUCCAGUGGAGUUACGGAGCCGGUCUGCUAAUAAACUCAUGUUGAAGAUCUUUUUGUCUGAGGUUUGUUUCCCUCUGCUGGAUGACAUGAACGGGUCAUUAGUUCUGUUAAGGGUCGGAACCAGAACACAUCUUUAAGGAUGACCAUGUUUAGGUUUGGGCUUAUUAGACGUGAUGUGAUUAAAGCUCAUCAUGGCUUUACUUUUUAGUCUUAAUGACUGCAAAGGUAAAACAUGUUUCCAUGAGCAUCUUCCCUGUUUGAACUACAGGAACAUCGCAGUUUUGGAAAACCCUAUGACAACCCGCUAGGCAUUUUUUUUUCUUCAGAACAGCAGAACUUGCCAUGACUUCUGAAGUCAAAGUUCUGGUUUGCUGAAGCAUGAAGACACUGGAAGAUAUUCUGAAACAGCAGAGCUGCAGAAGCUGUCCUGUGUGUCUUUCACUUCAUCUCAUUGUUCAGGCUCAGGAGAAAAGGUACGAAAAGAAACAAAAUGUUCUGUUAGGAAACAAUGAGUUCUGAUGGAGCUCGGUUCUUUUGAGGGAACCAGACCCCCCCCCCCCCCCUUGUCUUUUUUAAAUCCACGAUAAGAGACUGGGCCGUCGGGCUCUAAUCCCGGUUCUGGUAGCGGUUCUGCAGCGGCUUGGAGUUGGGGGUUCUGCUCGGUCGUAGUGACCAGCGUGUGUACGUGUCUGACCUCUCCCCCGGAAGUCCACCUCUGCAGCGCCGCUCCGGACCGUUAGCAGCUCCGGACCCCCGUCUCUCUCUGUCCGCUUCCCCGUCACCGCAAGAA